GACGAACGCUGGCGGCGUGCUUAACACAUGCAAGUCGAACGGGAUCCAAAGGCUUUUUGUUCUUGGUGAGUGUGGCGAACGGGUGAGUAACACGUGAGUAACCUUCCCCCUUCUUUUGGAUAACCUCAUGAAAGUGUGGCUAAUACAGGAUAUUUCAGGCUGGUCGCAUGAUUGGUUUGGGAAAUGGGUUGGUCUGGUGGGGGAUGGGCUGGCGGCCUCUCAGCUUGUUGGUGGGGUGAUGGCCUGCAAAGGCGGUGACGGGUAGCCGGCCUGCGAGGGGGGACGGUCACACUGGGACUGGGAGACGGCCCAGACUCCAACGGGAGGCAGCAGUGGGGGAGUUUGGGCAAUGGGCGCAAGCCUGAUGCAGCGACGGCGCGUGAGGGGUGAAGGCCUUGGGGAUGCAAACCUCUUUCGCUGGGUUGAUAGGCCAUGCUUGGGGUGUGGUUGAUGGGAACUAGUAAGGAAGUACCGGCUAACUACGUG
RNAcentral lists this ribosomal RNA (486 nucleotides) under uncultured bacterium. RNAcentral's name for it is "partial 16S ribosomal RNA". It matches the Rfam family "Bacterial small subunit ribosomal RNA", at positions 28 to 507 of the family's 1533-position model. The record is from RNAcentral.